CAGUAGCCGCGGUAAUACGAAGGGGGCUAGCGUUGUUCGGAAUUACUGGGCGUAAAGCGCACGUAGGCGGACAUUUAAGUUAGGGGUGAAAUCCCGGGGCUCAACCCCGGAACUGCCUUUGAUACUGGGUGUCUAGAGUAUGGAAGAGGUGAGUGGAAUUCCGAGUGUAGAGGUGAAAUUCGUAGAUAUUCGGAGGAACACCAGUGGCGAAGGCGGCUCACUGGUCCAUUACUGACGCUGAGGUGCGAAAGCGUGGGGAGCAAACAGGAUUAGAUACCCCUGUAGUCCCUGUCUCUUAUAC
Molecule: ribosomal RNA, 301 nt
Filed under: uncultured bacterium
Lineage: Bacteria
Description: partial 16S ribosomal RNA
Rfam family: Bacterial small subunit ribosomal RNA
Source: RNAcentral